GUGCAAAAGGCAUAGGUAGAACUUAGAAGAGUUAAAGGGUGUGGAGCAACCUUUGAUUAAAGCUCAAAUUCUUUUCUUAACAGUCUCUUUCCCACAUGAAUCAUUAUCCACCUAAAUUUUGAUUUCUUUUGUAUUUUAUAACCUGCAGGCAUUUUUUUUUGGAUAAACUAAAUUUCACGUCUUUUUAUGCUUUUAGUUUAGUUAGGGGCUUCUUCUCUAUAUACCCCUUGCAAGUUACAACCUAGACAAGUUAAAAUCUAAAUACCAGCUGAUCAUCAGUUUCACACACCCAGUAAUUAUCUGGGUAUCAGUUGAUUGAGGCAAUUGACCAAAGAGAGAAAAAGAUGAAUUAUAUUAGUGGGACAUUGAGAAAUAAAAGUGAGAUGAAUAUGGAUAUUAGUUACCAUGAUGGAAAAGUUUGCCAGCUGGGAUGCUAAAAGUUUCAGUUAACAGAUCUCUUUGUCUAUAUGUCUGAAUUGUUUAAUGUUUGAGAAA
Molecule: unclassified non-coding RNA, 495 nt
Filed under: Hevea brasiliensis (rubber tree)
Lineage: Eukaryota; Viridiplantae; Streptophyta; Magnoliopsida; Malpighiales; Euphorbiaceae
Source: RNAcentral